This 7322-nucleotide long non-coding RNA is filed under the name Triticum aestivum (bread wheat). Its description in RNAcentral is "long non-coding RNA (TAES_LNC006928)". The record is from RNAcentral. Lineage: Eukaryota; Viridiplantae; Streptophyta; Magnoliopsida; Poales; Poaceae.
AAUACAUCAUUUCGUAACUAACUCAUUAGUUACAAUGCUUGCAAGGCUUAAGUGAUGUGUAUUACCGAGAGGGCCCAGAGAUACCUCUCCGACAAUCGGAGUGACAAAACCUAAUCUUGAAUUAUGCCAACUCAACAUGUACCUUUGGAGACACCUGUAGAGCACCUUUAUAAUCACCCAAUUACGUUGUGAUGUUUGGUAGCACACAAAGUGUUCCUCCGGUAAACGGGAGUUGCACAAUCUCAUAGUUGUAGGAACUUUGUAUAAGUCAUGAAGAAAGCAAUAGCAACAUACUAAACGAUCAAGUGCUAGGCUAACAGAAUGGGUCAAGUCAAUCACAUCAUUCUCCUAAUGAUGUGAUCCCGUUAAUCAAAUGACAACUCUUUUGUCCAUGGCUAGGAAACAUAACCAUCUUUGAUAAACGAGCUAGUCAAGUAGAGGCAUACUAGUGACACUAUGUUUGUCUAUGUAUUCACACAUGUAUUAUGUUUCCGGUUAAUACAAUUCUAGCAUGAAUAAUAAACAUUUAUCAUGAUAUGAGGAAAUAAAUAAUAACUUUAUUAUUGCCUCUAGGGCAUAUUUCCUUCAGUCUCCCACUUGCACUAGAGUCAAUAAUCUAGAUUACAUAGUAAUGAUUCUAACACCCAUGGAGUCUUGGUGUUGAUCAUGUUUUGCUCGUGAGAGAGGCUUAGUCAACGGGUCUGCAACAUUCAGAUCCGUAUGUAUCUUGCAAAUUUCGAUGUCUCCCACUUGGACUUGGUCCCGGAUGGAAUUGAAGCGUCUCUUGAUGUGCUUGGUCCUCUUGUGAAAUCUGGAUUCCUUUGCCAAGGCAAUUGCACCAGUAUUGUCACAGAAGAUCUUCAUUGGUCCCGAUGCACUAGGUAUAACACCUAGAUCGGAAAUGAACUCCUUCAUCCAGACUCCUUCAUUUGCUGCUUCUGAAGCAGCUAUGUACUCUGCUUCACAUGUAGAUCCCGCCACGACGCUUUGUUUAGAACUGCACCAACUUACAGCUCCACCGUUUAAUAAAAAUACGUAUCCGGUUUGCGAUUUAGAAUCAUCCGGAUCAGUGUCAAAGCUUGCAUCGACGUAACCAUUUACGACUAGCUCUUUGUCACCUCCAUAUACGAGAAACAUAUCCUUAGUCCUUUUCAGGUAUUUCAGGAUGUUCUUGACCGCUGUCCAGUGAUCCACUCCUGGAUUACUUUGGUACCUCCCUGCCAAACUAAUAGCAAGGCACACAUCAGGUCUGGUACACAUCAUUGCAUACAUGAUAGAGCCUAUGGCUAAAGCAUAGGGAACUCCUUUCAUUUUCUCUCUAUCUUCUACAGUGGACGGGCAUUGAGUCUGACUCAAUUUUAUACCUUGUAAUACAGGCAAGAACCCUUUCUUUGCCUGAUCCAUAUUGAACCUUUUCAACACUUUAUCAAGGUACGUGCAUUGUGAAAGUCCAAUCAAGCGUCUUGAUCUAUCUCUAUAGAUCUUGAUGCCUAAUAUGUAAGCAGCUUCACCGAGGUCUUUCAUUGAAAAACUUUUAUUCAAGUAUCCUUUUAUGCUAUCCAGAAAUUCUAUAUCAUUUCCAAUCAACAAUAUGUCGUCCACAUAUAAUAUUAGAAAUGCUACAGAGCUCCCACUCACUUUCUUGUAAAUACACGCUUCUCCAAAAGUCUGUAUAAAACCAUAUGAUUUGAUCACACUGUCAAAGCAUUUAUUCCAACUCCGAGAGGCUUGCACCAGACCAUAGAUUGAUCGCUGGAGCUUGCACACUUUGUUAGCUCCCUAAGGAUCGACAAAACCUUCCGGUUGCAUCAUAUACAAAUCUUCUUCCAGAAAUCCAUUCAGGAAUGCAGUUUUUACAUCCAUCUGCCAUAUUUCAUAGUCAUAAAAUGCGGCAAUCGCUAACAUGAUUCGGACAGACUUAAGCAUCGCUACGGGUGAGAAGGUCUCAUCGUAGUCAACCCCUUGAUCUUGUCGAAAACCUUUCGCAACAAGUCGAGCUUUAUAGACAGUUACAUUACCGUCAGCGUCAGUCUUCUUCUUAAAGAUCCAUUUAUUCUCAAUGGCCUGCCGAUCAUUGGGCAAGUCAACCGAAGUCCAUACUUUGUUCUCAUACAUGGAUCCCAUCUCAGAUUUCAUGGCUUCUAGCCAUUUUGCGGAAUCUGGGCUCAUCAUCGCUUCCUCAUAGUUUGUAGGUUCAUCAUGGUCAAGUAACAUGACUUCCAGAAUAGGAUUACCGUACCACUCUGGUGCGGAUUUUAUUCUGGUAGACCUACGAGGUUCAGUAGAAACUUGAUCUGAAGUUUCAUGAUCAAUAUCAUUAACUUCCUCACUACUUGGUGUAGGUGUCACAAGAACCGAUUGUGAUGAACUACUUUCCAAUAAGGGAGUAGAUACAGUUAUCUCAUCAAGUUCUACUUUCCUCCCACUCACUUCUUUCGAGAGAAACUCCUUCUCUAGAAAGGAUCCAUUCUUAGCAACGAAUGUCUUGCCUUCGGGUCUGUGAUAGAAGGUGUACCCAACUGUCUCCUUUGGGUAUCCUAUGAAGACACAUUUCUCCGAUUUAGGUUCGAGCUUAUCUGGUUGAAGUUUCUUCACAUAAGCAUCGCAGCCCCAAACUUUAAGAAACGACAACUUUGGUUUCUUGCCAAACCACAGUUCAUAAGGCGUCGUCUCAACGGAUUUUGAUGGUGCCCUAUUCAAUGUGAAUGCGGCCGUCUCUGAAGCAUAACCCCAAAAUGAUAGCGGUAAAUCUGUAAGAGACAUCAUAGAUCGCACCAUAUCUAGUAAAGUACGAUUACGACGUUCGGACACACCAUUUCAUUGUGGUGUUCCGGGUGGCGUGAGUUGCGAAACUAUUCCGCAUUGUUUCAAAUGUAAACCAAACUCAUAACUCAAAUAUUCUCCUCCACGAUCAGAUCGUAGAAACUUUAUUUUCUUGUUAUGAUGAUUUUCCACUUCACUCUGAAAUUCUUUGAACUUUUCAAAUGUUUUAGACUUGUGUUUCAUUAAGUAGAUAUACCCAUAUCUGCUCAAAUCAUCUGUGAAGGUGAGAAAAUAACGAUAUCCACCACGAGCUUCAACAUUCAUCGGACCACAUACAUCUGUAUGUAUGAUUUCCAACAAAUCUGUUGCUCUCUCCAUAGUACCAGAGAACGGUGUUUUAGUCAUCUUGCCCAUGAGGCACGGUUCGCAAGUACCAAGUGAUUCAUAAUCAAGUGAUUCCAAAAGUCCAUCAGUAUGGAGUUUCUUCAUGCGCUUUACACCGAUAUGACCUAAACGGCAGUGCCACAAAUAAGUUGCAUUAUCAUUAUCAACUCUGCAUCUUUUGGCUUCGACAUUAUGAAUAUGUGUAUCACUACUAUCGAGAUUCAAUAAAAAUAGACCACUCUUCAAGGGUGCAUGACCAUAAAAGAUAUUACUCAUAUAAAUAGAACAACCAUUAUUCUCUGAUUUAAAUGAAUAACCGUCUCGCAUCAAACAAGAUCCAAAUAUAAUGUUCAUGCUCAACGCUGGCACCAAAUAACAAUUAUUCAGGUCUAAAACUAAUCCCGAAGGUAGAUGUAGAGGUAGCGUGCCGACCGCGAUCACAUCGACUUUGGAACCGUUUCCCACGCGCAUUGUCACCUUGUCCUUGGCCAGUGCUCGCUUAUUCCGUAGUCCCUGUUUCGAGUUGCAAAUAUUAGCAACAAAACCAGUAUCAAAUACCCAGGUGCUACUACGAGCUCUAGUAAGGUACACAUCAAUAACAUGUAUAUCACAUAUACCUUUGUUCACCUUGCCAUCCUUCUUAUCCGCCAAAUACUUGGGGCAGUUCCGCUUCCAGUGACCAGUCUGCUUGCAGUAGAAGCACUCAGUCUCAGGCUUAGGUCCAGACUUGGGUUUCUUCUCUUGAGCAGCAACUUGUUUGAUGUUCUUCUUGAAGUUCCCCUUCUUCUUCCCUUUGCCCUUUUUCUUGAAACUGGUGGUCUUAUUAACCAUCAACACUUGAUGCUCCUUCUUGAUUUCUACCUCCGCAGCCUUUAGCAUUGCGAAGAGCUCGGGAAUUGUCUUGUUCAUCCCUUGCAUAUUAUAGUUCAUCACGAAGCUCUUGUAGCUUGGUGGCAGUGAUUGGAGAAUUCUAUCAAUGAUGCUAUCAUCCGGAAGAUUAACUCCCAGUUCAAUCAAGUGAUUAUUAUACCCAGACAUUUUGAGUAUAUGCUCACUGACAGAACUAUUCUCCUCCAUCUUGCAGCUGUAGAACUUAUUGGAGACUUCAUAUCUCUCAAUCCGGGCAUUUGCUUGAAAUAUUAACUUCAACUCCUGGAACAUCUCAUAUGCUCCAUGACGUUCAAAACAUCGUUGAGGACCCGGUUCUAAGCCGUAAAGCAUGGCACACUGAACUAUAGAGUAGUCAUCAGCUUUGCUCUGCCAGACGUUCACAACAUCUGACAUUGCUCCUGUAGCAGGCCUGGCACCCAGCGGUGCUUCCAGGAUGUAAUUCUUCUGUGCAGCAAUGAGGAUAAUCCUCAAGUUACGGACCCAGUCUGUGUAAUUGCUACCAUCAUCUUUCAACUUUGCUUUCUCAAGGAACACAUUAAAAUUCAACGGAACAACAGCACGAGCCAUCUAUCUACAACAUACAUAGACAAGCGAAAUACUAUCAGGUACUAAGUUCAUGAUAAAUUUAAGUUUAAUUAAUCAUAUUACUUAAGAACUCCCACUUAGACAGACAUCUCUCUAGUCAUCUAAGUGAUCACGUGAUCCGAAUCAACUAAACCAUAACCGAUCAUCACGUGAGAUGGAGUAGUUUUCAAUGGUGAACAUCACUAUGUUGAUCAUAUCUACUAUAUGAUUCAUGCUCGACCUUUCGGUCUCCGUGUUCCGAGGCCAUAUCUGCAUAUGCUAGGCUCGUCAAGUUUAACCUGAGUAUUCUGCGUGUGCAAAACUGGCUUGCACCCGUUGUAGAUGGACGUAGAGCUUAUCACACCCGAUCAUCACGUGGUGUCUGGGCACGACGAACUUUGGCAACAGUGCAUACUCAGGGAGAACACUUCUUGAUAAUUUUUAGUGAGAGAUCAUCUUAAAGUGCUACCGUCAAUCAAAGCAAGAUAAGAUGCAUAAAGGAUAAACAUCACAUGCAAUCAAUAUAAGUGAUAUGAUAUGGCCAUCAUCAUCUUGUGCUUGUGAUCUCCAUCUCUGAAGCACCAUCGUGAUCACCAUCGUCACCGGCGCGACACCUUGAUCUCCAUCGUAGCAUCAUUGUCAUUUACACCAUCUAUUGCUUCUAUGACUAUCGCUACCGCUUAGUGAUAAAGUAAAGCAAUUACAGGGCGUUUGCAUUUCAUACAAUAAAGCGACAACCAUAUGGCUCCUGCCAGUUGCCGAUAACUUUGGUUACAAAACAUGAUCAUCUCAUACAAUAAAAUAUAGCAUCACGUCUUGACCAUAUCACAUCACAACAUGCCUUGCAAAAACAAGUUAGACGUCCUCUACUUUGUUGUUGCAAGUUUUACAUGGCUGCUACAGGCUUAGCAAGAACCGUUCUUACCUACGCAUCAAAACCACAACGAUAGUUCGUCAAGUUAGUGCUGUUUUAACCUUCGCAAGGACCGGGCGUAGCCACACUCGAUUCAGCUAAAGUGAGAGAGACAGACACCCGCCAGCCACCUUUAAGCAUGAGUGCUCGUAACGGUGAAACAAGUCUCGCGUAAGCGUACGCGUAAUGUCGGUCCGGGCCGCUUCAUUUCACAAUACCGUCGAACCAAAGUAUGACAUGCUGGUAAGCAGUAUGACUUGUAUCACCCACAACUCACUUGUGUUCUACUCGCGUAUAUAACAUCAACGCAUAAAACCUAGGCUCUGAUACCACUGUUGGGGAACGUAGUAAUUUCAAAAAAAAUCCUACGCACACGCAAGAUCAUGGUGAUGACAUAGCAACGAGAGGGGAGAGUGUUGUCGACGUACCCUCGUAGACCGUAAGCGGAAGCGUUAUAACAACGCGGUUGAUGUAGUCAUACGUCUUCAUGAUCCGACCGAUCCAAGCACCGAACGUACGGCACCUCCGUGUUCAGCACACGUUCAGCUCGAUGACGUUCCCCGGGCUCCAAUCUAGUAGAGCGUCGGGGAUGAGUUCCGUCAGCACGACGGCGUGGUGACGAUGAUGAUGUUCUACCGGCGCAGGGCUUCGCCUAAACUCUGCGAUGAUAUGACCGAGGUGGAAUAUGGUGGAGGGGGCACCGCACACGGCUAAGGAAUGGUCCGUAGAUCAACUUGUGUGUCUAUGGGGUGCCCCCCUGCCCCCGUAUAUAAAGGAGCAAGGGGGGAGGCCGGCCGGCCCUAGAGGGUGCGCCAAGGAGGAGGAGUCCUCCUCCUAGUAGGAGUAGGACUCCCCCUUUCUUACUCCUACUAGGAGGGGGAAAGGAAGGGGGAGAGGGAGAAGGAAAGGGGGGCGCCGCCCCCCCUAGUCCAAUUUGGACCAGAGAAGGAGGGGGCGCGCGGCCCAUGCUGGCCGCCCCUCUCUCUCUCCACUAAGGCCCAUAAGGCCUAUUACUUCUCCCGGGGGGGGGGGUCGGGUAACCCUCUGGCACUCCGGUUUUCUCCAAAAACGCCCAGAACAUUUCCGGUGUCCGAAUAUAGCCGUCCAAUAUAUCAAUAUUUAUGUCUCGACCAUUUCGAGACUCCUUGUCAUGUCCGUGAUCACAUCCGGGACUCAGAACAAACUUCGGUACAUCAAAACUUAGAAACUCAUAAUGAAACUGUCAUCGUAACGUUAAGCAUGCGAACCCUACGGGUUCGAGAACUAUGUGGACAUGACCUAGAACUGUUUCUGAUCAAUAACCAAUAGUGGAACCUGGAUGUUCAUAUUGGUUCCUACAUAUUCUACGAAGAUCUUUAUCGGUCAAACCGCAUAACAACAUACGUUGUUCCCUUUGUCACGGUAUGUUACUUGCCCGAGAUUCGAUCGUCGGUAUCCAAUACCUAGUUUAAUCUCAUUACCGGCAAGUCUCUUUACUCGUUCCGUAAUACAUCAUUUCGUAACUAACUCAUUAGUUACAAUGCUUGCAAGGCUUAAGUGAUGUGUAUUACCGAGAGGGCCCAGAGAUACCUCUCCGACAAUCGGAGUGACAAAACCUAAUCUUGAAUUAUGCCAACUCAACAUGUACCUUUGGAGACACCUGUAGAGCACCUUUAUAAUCACCCAGUUAUGUUGUGAUGUUUGGUAGCACACAAAGUGUUCCUCCGGUAAACGGGAGUUGCACAAUCUCAUAGUUGUAGGAACUUUGUAUAAGUCAUGAAGAAAGCAAUAGCAACAUACUAAACGAUCAAGUGCUAGGCUAACAGAA